UGCCAGCCGCCGCGGUAAUACGGAGGGUGCAAGCGUUAUCCGGAUUCAUUGGGUUUAAAGGGUGCGCAGGCGGACCUGUCAGUCAGUGGUGAAAUCCCGGGGCUCAACUCCGGAACUGCCAUUGAUACUACAGGUCUUGAAUACGGUUGAAGUAGGCGGAAUGUAGCAUGUAGCGGUGAAAUGCAUAGAUAUGCUACAGAACACCGAUCGCGAAGGCAGCUUACUAAGCCGAUAUUGACGCUCAGGCACGAAAGCGUGGGUAGCGAACAGGAUUAGAUA
Molecule: ribosomal RNA, 279 nt
Filed under: uncultured bacterium
Lineage: Bacteria
Description: partial 16S ribosomal RNA
Rfam family: Bacterial small subunit ribosomal RNA
Source: RNAcentral